UUUCUCUGUUUCUGUUUCUCUACGUCCUUCACAAAAGCCUCAAGCGGGAGCAAUAUCUCAUCCAAUUGGCCAACCUUCUUGUCAACUCUCUUGAUCAGUCUCAGCAUCGUUUUCAGCAUCUUCAUACCCUCCCCCUGUUCAAUCGACUGCACAGCUAAAUGUACUCCAUCCCCUGCUGCAUCUUCUAUCUCUUCUGCCUGUUUUUCUCGCGCGGCCACACCUUCAUCAAACAUGUCUUUAAAAAAGAUCGACAAUCCUUCAUCCAGA
Molecule: long non-coding RNA, 267 nt
Filed under: Brassica napus (rape)
Lineage: Eukaryota; Viridiplantae; Streptophyta; Magnoliopsida; Brassicales; Brassicaceae
Description: long non-coding RNA (BNAP_LNC011697)
Source: RNAcentral